CUGAUACCGAGCCGAAGCUGGACUGUACUGCUGCCAUCUCGGCUCACUGCAACCUCCCUGCCUGAUUCUCCUGCCUCAGCCUGCCGAGUGCCUGCGAUUGCAGGCGCGCGCCGCCACGCCUGACUGGUUUUCGUAUUUUUUUGGUGGAGAUGGGGUUUUGCUGUGUUGGCCGGGCUGGUCUCCAGCUCCUAACCGCGAGUGAUCCACCAGCCUCGGCCUCCCGAGGUGCCGGGAUUGCAGACGGAGUCUGGUUCACUCAGUGCUCAAUGGCGCCCAGGCUGGAGUGCGUUGGCGUGAUCUCGGCUCGCUACAACCUCCACCUCCCAGCCGCCUGCCUUGGCCUCCCUAAGUGCCGGGAGUGCAGCCUCUGCCCGGCCGCCACCCCGUCUGGGAAGUGAGGAGCGUCUCUGCCUGGCCACCCAUCGUCUGGGACGUGAGGAGCCCCUCUGCCUGGCUGCCCAGUCUGGAAAGUGAGGAGCGCUUCUUCCCGGCCGCCAUCCCAUCUAGGAAGUGAGGAGUGCCUCUUCCCGGCCACCAUCCCAUCUAGGAAGUGAGGAGCGUCUCUGCCCGCCGCCCAUUGUCUGAGAUGUGGGGAGCGCCUCUGCCCCGCCGCCCCGUCUGGGAUGUGAGGAGCGCCUCUGCCCGGCCGCGACCCCGUCUGGGAGGUGAGGAGACCCUCCGCCCGGCAACCGCCCCGUCUGAGAAGUGAGGAGCCCCUCCGCCCGGCAGCCGCCCCGUCUGAGAAGUGAAGAGCCCCUCCGCCCGGCAGCCACCCCGUUUGGGAGAUAUUGAAUUUUCCAAGACCACUCUGGCCCACCAUGCCCCUCAUCCUGUGCCCAUAAAAACCCAAGACCAUAGCAGGCACACACACAAGGGGCUGGAUGUCGAGAGGAGCAGAAGAGCAGAAGAACACACCAACAGACACCAGCAGACACUGACAGGCCAUCGACAACAGGACAACGUGGAAUUCUGUCAGGGGUGGUUCUUGAAGAGCCCAGCCGCUAGGUGGCGCAACUCCAGGGGAAGACCACCUUCCCACUCCAUCCUCCUUCUGGCUCCACAUCCAUCUCACUGAGAGCUACUUCCCCCACUCAAUAAAACCUUGCACCCAUCCUCCAAGCCCACAUGUGAUCCGAUUUUUCCAGUACACUAGGGCAAGAAGCCGGGAUACAGAAAGCCCUUGUGAUAAGACAGAGAGUCUAAUUGAGCUGCUUAACACAAGCCACCUGCAGAGAGCAAAACUGCAAGAGCACACUGUAACACAGGCCCACUGGGGCUUCGAGAGCUGUAAACACUUAACCCUAGAUGCUGCUGUGGGGUCGGAGCCCAAAAACACUCCCCAGUACCUGCAUCCUCUACAUGCUCCCCCUAGAGGUUUGAGCAGCCGAGGACUGAAGAAGCGAGCCACAUCCCUGUUGCAUGCCCUGUGAGGG
This 1433-nucleotide long non-coding RNA is filed under the name Homo sapiens (human). RNAcentral describes it as "HSALNT0364757". The record is from RNAcentral. Lineage: Eukaryota; Metazoa; Chordata; Mammalia; Primates; Hominidae.